RNAcentral lists this ribosomal RNA (465 nucleotides) under uncultured bacterium. RNAcentral describes it as "partial 16S ribosomal RNA". It matches the Rfam family "Bacterial small subunit ribosomal RNA", at positions 338 to 795 of the family's 1533-position model. The record is from RNAcentral.
CCUACGGGCGGCAGCAGUGGGGAAUUUUGCGCAAUGCUCGUAAGAGUGACGCAGCGACGCCGCGUGAAUGACGAAGGCCUUCGGGUCGUAAAGUUCUUUCGACAGGGAAGAAAAUGCCUAUAAGUAACUGUGUAUGUAUUGACGGUACCUGUAUAAGCAGCCCCGGCUAACUACGUGCCAGCAGCCGCGGUAAUACGGAGGGGGCGAGCGUUGUUCGGAGUGACUGGGCGUAAAGAGCACGUAGGCGGUGUGGUAAGUCAUUAGUCAAAGACUAGAGCUCAACUUUAGUAAGGCUGGUGAUACUAUAAUACUAGAGUAUCAGAGAGGAUUGCAGAAUUCCUGGUGUAGCGGUGAAAUGCAUAGAUAUCGCGCAGAACGCCGAUUGCGAAGGCAGCGUACCGGCGCCAGACUGACGCGGAGGCACGAAAGCGUGGGGAUCGAACAGGAUUAGAUACCCUGGUAGUC